Non-coding RNA from Oryza sativa Japonica Group (Japanese rice), 1099 nucleotides. NCBI's taxonomy places the organism in Eukaryota, Viridiplantae, Streptophyta, Magnoliopsida, Poales, Poaceae. The record is from RefSeq and is a predicted model, not a curated record.
AAAAUUCACUCGGAAUCCUGAGUGGUAGAAUGACAUCAUUGGUCUUAUCUGAAGCAAAGUAUUCAAUUCCCUCUUAAUUUGCUAUAGGAAGCCGUUUGAUACUUUGUUUAUGUUGGUCUAUUGGCUCAUUUGGAAGGGAACGUACUGCAAGAAUCUUUGAUCAGAAGAGAAGCACAGCAGCCCAACUAUUUGCUGACAUCAAGGAUGGAAUCUCCAUUUGGAAGGAAGCUGUUGUAGGCCACCGCGGAAUGCGGCACUCAUCUCGACAACCUCAAGUCAUCGCCAACAAGGGAAGGGGGUGACGGUGGCCUAGAUGUGGCUAGCCGCAUGGCUGAGGAGAUGUGGGAAGGGGGAGGGCCUCAGCGAUGGCGGCCCAGGCGUAUCUAGCCUGUGAGGGAGGAGAUGCGGGAAAUGGGAGGGCCUCAAAGAAGGUGGCUCAGGUGAAGCAUGCUGGCAUGGUAGAGAAGAUGGGGAAAUAGCGCAGCAAGGGGAAGGUGAGGGGUCAUCAACCUCAAGCUUCUGACUCCUCUUUAUUGUUGCUGCCUUCUGUAGGGCGGGGUUCAUCUGGCAUAGCCUCACCAAGCUUGAGUUGGUGGGCAUGGACCGGGCACAAGCCCCUCGAUUUGAAUGGUCUUGGUCCAUUGUUCCAAGCCCGAUGUCGACACCUUCUACUCAGAUCCAACAACAUGCGGCAGUGAGCUCCCUUUCAGCCUCUCCAUGUGAGCAGGCAAGUUCUAGCUUUGCUUUCAUCUCUCCGUGCCGCUGACAUCGCCCCUAGUUGCCUCUGGUCAAGCUCACCUUGGCAGCUGCCCUCGAGCUCUCACAGUCUCAUCGUAGUUUGUACAUCUGAAUGAAGAAGAAGAAAACGGAAAGGAAAAGAAGUAAAAUAUUUUUUUAUGAAUAGGCCCCACUUAUCAGUCAGUGUAGAAUUGCUGAAUAUGCCAUGUCAUGAUGUCAAUGUCUAUAUGGAAUGCCACGUAGGAUCCCAGAGGGACCGUGGCAAUUUAAUACCGGAAUGACACAAUUUGAUAAGUUUUCUGGACCUAGGUGUACAUUUUGAGAGAUUAGGGAUCUAUACGACACACCCAUAUAAGUUGAA